UGACUAUUCAGUUUCAGAUUACUGCCAAUUAAAACACAGAAGAAGAGGUCCAGGGAGGAGAGCACAUUGCACCAAGGACCUUCCAUGGAUGACUUUGCAGAACCUGCUCCCUUUCCAUCAUUUUGGCAGACUGCAAAUCAGAAGAUUUGGAUGAAACAAGACAAGGAUGAUGCCAGAAUCUUCUGGGGAUGAAGAGCUCAAUCCUACAAAGUAUGGCUAUUGUGUAUUAACACCAGUGGGCAGUUACACAUUGGCGGCCUGAGACAACAUUCC
Long non-coding RNA from Lonchura striata (white-rumped munia), 273 nucleotides. RefSeq lists it as uncharacterized. The record is from RefSeq and is a predicted model, not a curated record. Lineage: Eukaryota; Metazoa; Chordata; Aves; Passeriformes; Estrildidae.